RNAcentral lists this ribosomal RNA (418 nucleotides) under Tudorella ferruginea. RNAcentral describes it as "partial 12S ribosomal RNA". The record is from RNAcentral. Lineage: Eukaryota; Metazoa; Mollusca; Gastropoda; Littorinimorpha; Pomatiidae.
UAUUCUUAAUGUUAAAUAGAUUAAGUUUACCAAAUUAUUAUGAACGGGAGUUUAAAAUUUAAAGGACUUGGCGGUGUUUUAUACUUUUUAGGGGAAUUUGUUUCGUAAUCGAUGAUCCGCGUUAAACCUGGCCUUUAAUAGUUGUUCAGCAUGUAUACCGUCGUCGUCAGGUAACUUUGUUAGAGUUUUGAAGUUAGCGGAUUGGAUAAAAGAGAAGAAUAAAUAAUAAAAUGGUGUGUUUGGACGUCAGAUCAAGGUGCAGCUUAUGAAGAGGGGUGGAUGAAUUACAUUUAUAUAAUAUAAUGACGGAGAAAGAUAUGAAUUUAUUUUUUGAAGGUGGACUUAAAAGUAAGAAUGUGAUAUAUAGAAAUGUUUUGAAUUUUGUUCUAAAGCGCGUACACACCGCCCGUCACCCUCA